Molecule: ribosomal RNA, 253 nt
Filed under: uncultured bacterium
Lineage: Bacteria
Description: partial 16S ribosomal RNA
Rfam family: Bacterial small subunit ribosomal RNA
Source: RNAcentral
UACGUAGGGUCCGAGCGUUGUCCGGAAUUAUUGGGCGUAAAGGGCUCGUAGGCGGUCUGUUGCGUCGGGCGUGAAAAUUCACAGCUUAACUGUGAACUUGCUUCCGAUACGGGCAGACUUGAGGUAUUCAGGGGAGAACGGAAUUCCUGGUGUAGCGGUGAAAUGCGUAGAUAUCAGGAGGAACACCGGCGGUGUAGACGGCUUGCUAGACCACCCCUGACGCUGAGGCACGAAAGCGUGGGUAGCAAACAGG